This 382-nucleotide unclassified non-coding RNA is filed under the name uncultured bacterium. RNAcentral describes it as "contains 16S-23S intergenic spacer region". The record is from RNAcentral.
UCCGAUUUGUCACCGGCAGUCUCUCUAGAGUGCCCAGCUUAACCUGAUGGUAACUAAGAACAGGGGUUGCGCUCGUUGCGGGACUUAACCAAACACCUCACGGCACGAGCUGACGACAGCCAUGCAACAAGUGUCUUCACGUCUCCUUGUGGGAGAGGGCCCCCUUUCAGGGGCUUGCGAUCGAUGUCAAGCCUGGGUAAGGUUCUUCGGUUAGUAUCGAAUUAAUCCACAUGCUCCACCGCUUGUGCGGGUCCCCGUCAAUUCAUUUGAGUUUCAGCCUUGCGGCCGUACUCCCCAGGCGGGGCACUUCAUGCGUUAGCGCCGGCACCCAGGGGGUCGCUCCCCCAAGCACCUAGUGCCCAUCGUUUACGGCGUGGACUAC